UACGUAGGGGGCUAGCGUUGUCCGGAAUCAUUGGGCGUAAAGCGCGUGUAGGCGGCUUGCCAAGUCCGAUGUGAAAGCUCGGGGCUCAACCCCGAGUCUGCAUUGGAAACUGGCUUGCUUGAGUCCGGAAGAGGAGACUGGAAUUCCUGGUGUAGCGGUGAAAUGCGCAGAUAUCAGGAAGAACACCGGUGGCGAAGGCGGGUCUCUGGGACGGUACUGACGCUGAGACGCGAAAGCGUGGGGAGCAAAC
Molecule: ribosomal RNA, 250 nt
Filed under: uncultured bacterium
Lineage: Bacteria
Description: partial 16S ribosomal RNA
Rfam family: Bacterial small subunit ribosomal RNA
Source: RNAcentral